CUUGACCUCGGAUCAGGUAGGGAUA
Molecule: non-coding RNA, 25 nt
Filed under: Drosophila melanogaster (fruit fly)
Lineage: Eukaryota; Metazoa; Arthropoda; Insecta; Diptera; Drosophilidae
Also listed under: 8 other names
Source: RNAcentral